AUGGUCAUGGGCAUGGGUAUGGUCAUGGGCAUGGGCAUGGGCAUGAGCAUGGUCAUCAUGGUCAUGAUCAUCAUGGUCACGGCCAUAAAAAAGGGCACCAUUCCAGUGGCAGUGACUCCGAUUAGUAGGAUGUGCAGAAGAUGGAUGACCACUUUUCAUCAUCAGCUUUGUGGGUUUUUCAGUUUUUGUGAUGGGAAAGAAUGAAUUAAAAUGAAAAAAUAUAUAUUUCUUGUGAUUUACAGCCUCUCUGUAUUCCUAUACCUUAAUCAUUUGGUGUUGCAAAAGCUGUGAUGCAGGCGAGAGAAAUAUUGUCAAAAUCGCACAAGAAUCAAGAAACAGUGUUUUACUGGCUAUCAGAUUACUGGCUUGUAUAGAGCUUCUAUACAAAUUUUAAUUAAAAUGUGUAUUUAAAAUUUUACUUUUUUGAAACUCAUUAUUUUAUCUUGUAUUCAAAGGGAGGUGCUCCAAAUGUCUGUGGAGUAAACUGGCAUUUUUACAUUUAAAGCUUUGCUAUGCAUGUUUCAAAACACAUAACUGAUCAAAUGUUUAAAAUGUAAUGUGAGAAGCCUCUAUUUUAAAAAUAAAACGCCUUUAUUCUGAAA
Lepisosteus oculatus (spotted gar) is the source of this 602-nucleotide non-coding RNA. NCBI's taxonomy places the organism in Eukaryota, Metazoa, Chordata, Actinopteri, Semionotiformes, Lepisosteidae. The record is from RefSeq and is a predicted model, not a curated record.